This 474-nucleotide ribosomal RNA is filed under the name Triticum aestivum (bread wheat). Its description in RNAcentral is "partial small subunit ribosomal RNA". The record is from RNAcentral. Lineage: Eukaryota; Viridiplantae; Streptophyta; Magnoliopsida; Poales; Poaceae.
AUGGCCGUUGACCCCCACUUCCCUCGGCCGCCAUUCCUGGGCGCUUCAUCUCAGAGGGAGAUGUUGUGCCAGCGGUCCAGGUUAGUCUGCGCCGGAGGGCGCCGCUGCAUCGGACGCCAGAUGAUUCGCCGUCGCUGUUGGAUGCGAGGGAUUUCCCGCCACGCGUUACUCGCCGGAGGACGCUGUCGCUGGCCUGAGCGACGCCUGGUCGCGACCGCUUCGGUCUGGUGCGGGAGGCCGCCCCUCUCUAGGGCUUGCCGUGCCGCCUCGCUGUGCCCGCAUUGGGAGAAGAGGCGUCGGGGCCGAAGGCCGCCGCGCCCGGGGAAGAAGCGACGGGGCCGCCGUCCCUGGGUUCCAUACGCCUCCGGUUGGGGCCAAAGGCCAUGCUACGCCGUGAGUGUUGCCUGCGUCGUGGUCAGGCUCGCCAGAGGGCGUCGCCACCACGGCCGUGCACCAGAGUCUCGUGGUUGGUGA